UGGAUUGGCAGGAUCAACAUUGUAAAAAUGG
Molecule: non-coding RNA, 31 nt
Filed under: Mus musculus (house mouse)
Lineage: Eukaryota; Metazoa; Chordata; Mammalia; Rodentia; Muridae
Source: RNAcentral